Molecule: small nucleolar RNA, 107 nt
Filed under: Phanerochaete chrysosporium RP-78
Lineage: Eukaryota; Fungi; Basidiomycota; Agaricomycetes; Polyporales; Phanerochaetaceae
Description: Small nucleolar RNA Z13/snr52
Rfam family: Small nucleolar RNA Z13/snr52
About the family: Z13 or snr52 is a member of the C/D class of snoRNA which contain the C (UGAUGA) and D (CUGA) box motifs. Most of the members of the box C/D family function in directing site-specific 2'-O-methylation of substrate RNAs.
Source: Rfam by way of RNAcentral
CCUAUCCGCAAGAUGAAGCCAACACGGAUGUAAAUGAGCUCUGCUCGCUGUCCGAGAGCGCAAAACCUCGUGUGGAUUGUUCCGUUGCCUUCCUUCUGACCAUACGU